Molecule: ribosomal RNA, 375 nt
Filed under: uncultured bacterium
Lineage: Bacteria
Description: bacterial SSU rRNA
Rfam family: Bacterial small subunit ribosomal RNA
Source: RNAcentral
GACGAACGCUGGCGGCGUGCUUAACACAUGCAAGUGGAGCGACGAACCAGGGCUUGCCCUGGGGCAGAGCCGCGAACGGGUGAGUAACACGUGGGUAACGUGCCCCGAUGAUCGGGACAACCCGGGGAAACCCGGGCUAAUACCGAAUGUGCUCCCCUCACACCAGUGAGGGAUGGAAAGGAAGCUUCGGCCUCCGCAUCGGGAUCGGCCCGCGGCCCAUUAGCUUGUUGGUGAGGUAACGGCUCACCAAGGCUGCGAUGGGUAGCUGGUCUGAGAGGACGAUCAGCCACACUGGGACUGAGACACGGCCCAGACUCCUACGGGAGGCAGCAGUGGGGAAUCUUGCGCAAUGCGCGAAAGCGUGACGCAGCAACG